UACGAAGGGUGCAAGCGUUACUCGGAAUUACUGGGCGUAAAGCGUGCGUAGGUGGUGAGUUAAGUCUGUCGUGAAAGCCCCGGGCUCAACCUGGGAAUGGCGAUGGAUACUGGCUCGCUAGAGUGCGGUAGAGGAGAGUGGAAUUCCCGGUGUAGCAGUGAAAUGCGUAGAGAUCGGGAGGAACAUCAGUUGCGAAGGCGGCUCUCUGGACCAGCACUGACACUGGGGCACGAAAGCGUGGGGAGCAAACAGG
RNAcentral lists this ribosomal RNA (253 nucleotides) under uncultured bacterium. RNAcentral's name for it is "partial 16S ribosomal RNA". It matches the Rfam family "Bacterial small subunit ribosomal RNA", at positions 524 to 776 of the family's 1533-position model. The record is from RNAcentral.